GACGGAGGGUGCAAGCGUUGUUCGGAAUUACUGGGCGUAAAGCGCGGGCAGGUGGCCUUUUAAGUCCUUUGUGAAAUCCCGGGGCUCAACUCCGGAUGUGCAUAGGAUACUGGAAGGCUCGAGACAGGUAGAGGCGAGCGGAAUUCCUGGUGUAGCGGUGGAAUGCGUAGAUAUCAGGAAGAACACCGGUGGCGAAGGCGGCUCGCUGGGCCUGUUCUGACACUCAUACGCGAAAGCGUGGGGAGCAAACAGG
This 253-nucleotide ribosomal RNA is filed under the name uncultured bacterium. RNAcentral describes it as "partial 16S ribosomal RNA". It matches the Rfam family "Bacterial small subunit ribosomal RNA", at positions 524 to 776 of the family's 1533-position model. The record is from RNAcentral.